AUUAUUUUAAAUUAAUAAUUAAAGGAAAAAAAAUUAUCUCAAGUUGUUUUUCAGGUCUGGGUAUUAUAAAUGUAGACCAUUUGGAUUAAACUUGCUUCUUGCAUGCUACUUUUUGUGUUGAAUUUGCAUUAACUUUGAAUAGGAAUCUGCAUAUGAAUCAGUUUGGAAAAAGAAGAUGAAGUGACUCCAACUUGGACUCAAAAAAGAGGUUAUCCCCGGCUGUCCUAUGCCCGUAAGCUUGCUGCUGCGAGCGUGUGGGUGCGACUUGCGUGCGCGAGCGGCAUUAGUUAUCCGCACAAAUGAGCCCCUUUGUGCAUUCUAUUAGGCAUAAGAUCUAUUCCCCCGCACGCCUGCAUGCUAUAUAUAUGUGUUGGUGUUCCCAAGGCAUGGUAUGGGCUGACUUUCUUCCUUUGGGUGCGAUCUUUUUGGGCUAUGGCCCACUUUGGCCACAUGGCCUUGAAGCCAUUUAGGGUUGGGCCAAAGUUAGGCCUUUCCUUUUGCCUUGUAAUUUCUUCAAGCCCAUUAAGCAUGUCGCGGCUGGCACCAUUUCUUACAGGACGUGUCUGGAGCAUACUUACACUUCAUACAAAAUUAAAUAACAAGAAUUAACUUUAAUUAACAUACAGAGUGCCCAGAAGUGUUACAUCUCUUGAAAUAUG
RNAcentral lists this long non-coding RNA (659 nucleotides) under Carica papaya (papaya). RNAcentral describes it as "long non-coding RNA (CPAP_LNC013929)". The record is from RNAcentral. Lineage: Eukaryota; Viridiplantae; Streptophyta; Magnoliopsida; Brassicales; Caricaceae.